Molecule: ribosomal RNA, 119 nt
Filed under: Gossypium hirsutum (cotton)
Lineage: Eukaryota; Viridiplantae; Streptophyta; Magnoliopsida; Malvales; Malvaceae
Source: RNAcentral
GGGUGUGAUCAUAUCAGCACUAAGGCAUCCGAUCCCAUCAGAACUACGCAAUUAAGCGCGCUUGGGCAAGAGUUGUACUAGGAUGAGUGACCUCUUGGGAAGUCCUCGUGUUCCACCCA